Molecule: long non-coding RNA, 1032 nt
Organism: Oncorhynchus kisutch (coho salmon)
Lineage: Eukaryota; Metazoa; Chordata; Actinopteri; Salmoniformes; Salmonidae
Source: Ensembl
AUGGGAGUUGGAGGGGUUCCCAGCAGUGUAGAGAGAGCAGGAGUGGGGAGCGGCCCUGGGGGGGGCAAUACGGGCUCCUUCCUGGGCUCUCUAUUCGGCAGCAAACGCGCCAAACCGCCAAGUCCCCUUAUACCACCGGGGCCACCCUACCCCGCCCCUGUCCCCCCACCCACUACGGGAGGGCCCCCUCCUCACUCCCCAUCAUCUCUGUGCCAGUCAGAGGGGGGCCCUUCCAAGAUCCAGGCCCUGCAUGCUCAGUACUGCCACACGGCCGUCGUGCAGCCCCCUCCCCCCUACUACCAUCACCAUCGCUACCACGUCCAAGCUGGCCCUCCUCCCUUGCCAGGCGGGGGCAUGCCCCCUCAUAUCCUUCAGAGAGGGCCGCUCCCCUGUCGCCCUCCUUUUGGCCCCCCUCACGCCCAGCUCCAGCAGCUGGCCCAUCUCUCCCAGUUUUCCCAGCAUGGCAUGCAGGGUCGCUACGGCAACAUAGCGGUGGGCUGUCCUCCCCCCCUUUCUCCUCACUCCCAACAUUCCCAGAACCCCCAGUUCGCCCUGUACCACACGCAAACCCCACAAUCUAUCAGGGGAGGCGCUGUGCCAAGCAAACCUCCUCUAACUUUGUCUCACUCCCACCCGCACCCCCACGCACACUCCCACACCCACCCCGGGCACCCACUCAGUGCCGCGCCACACCCCACCGCCCACCCACAUCAGUCUCACUUCAUUUUUGGCACGCUGCCCCACCAACAUCAGCACCAGCAGCCGCCCGCCUCCGUCAACGCCCAUCACGCUACGUCCGCCGCCCAGUAUCAGCCCCAGUACCCUCCUCUCUCUUCCAUCCCCCCUCCCCCACCCCACUCCCCUUUACCCCCCCCUUCUAUCCCCCUUACCCCUCUUACGCCUCUCUGCCCUCACCCCCCCCAGCACCCCGGGCAGCCUCAGCAGGGGCCCCAGGUGACGGGGGCUGGGGCGACUGGCACAGGGGUCAGCUCCAAAUCCAAACCUAUCAACCGGAUCAGCACGGUAGUGUGA